AAAAAGAAACAUUAGAUUCCGAGUGUAGUGAGGGGGCUAUUGGCUUUACAAUGCUGUGUAUUUUUUUUUUCUUUGUUCUAGUCUGUAGACACGUUUUUUCUGAGUAAAAUUGCUUUAAUAUAUAAAUUUAGCACUUUUUUGAAAGCUCAAGUUGCCUAAAUUGUACUUCAAAAAGGUCAUUUUCUAAUUUUCGGCGCCAUUUUUUAAAUAAAAGCACUUGAGUGGGAAAAAACGUACAAUUUCAUGAUGUCAUUAUUUUCUAAAAAUACAGACGUCAUUUUCCACCAGAAAAAUGAUUUAAUCCAAAAAAACAUGACACCUUUUUUGUUGCCUUUUUGAUUUACUCAUGGAGUCAUCGUUAAAACUAGAGGAAUUUUAAUUUUUGGGAGUUUUUUGCUGUAAUUUGGUUAUUAUAAAUACACAUAGCGACUUAAAACUUGGUAAUAAUAAUUAUAUUAGACUUACCUAGACGUGGUAAAACUUUCAAAAUCAUUGGACAACUUUUUUUUUUUUAAUAAGUGUUGAAAUUAAAUUUAAACGAAAAUCGUAAAAAAAAAAUUUGAGACUAAAUUAUGUAUUACUGAACUGCACUUGGAAUUGUCUUUUGUCAAGCAAUGAUUUUGUUUACAGAUAUAAAUUAAAUAACCUUAUGUAUCCUUCUUCCCAGCUUUUCACCUACAACAUUUACCACUCCCAUCCUCAGUAUCUGUUAUUUUUUUGUUAAGUUACAAAUAUUAAAUUAAAUUCUGUACUUAUGUAACAAUAACAAUAAUUAAUUUUAGUUCAUACAUCAUAACUUACUAGCGCCUGGAAUUAUAUUAAUUUGCAU
This is a non-coding RNA of Cinara cedri, 829 nucleotides long. The record is from the annotation of a GenBank genome assembly. Lineage: Eukaryota; Metazoa; Arthropoda; Insecta; Hemiptera; Aphididae.